GAUGAAGAACGCAGCGAAAUGCGAUAAUUAAUGUGAAUUGCAGAAUUCCGUGAAUCAUCGAGUCUUUGAACGCACAUUGCGCCCCCUGGUAUUCCGGGGGGCAUGCCUGUCCGAGCGUCAUUACAACCCUCAAGCCCGGCUUGUGUAAUGGGCGGCCGUCUCUCCCCCCGGGGGGAGACGCCCCCGAAACUCAGUGGGGAUGUCGCGAUACCGAAGCCUCAGCUAAUGGGUAAACCACAGCUGCAAUGGCCGCGGCCGGCGUCCGCCUUCCACGGUCCGUCCGCCUAGCGCGGGCGGCCUUCUCAAGGUUGACCUCGGAUCAGGUAGGGAUACCCGCUGAACUUAAGCAUAUCAAUAAGCGGAGGA
RNAcentral lists this unclassified non-coding RNA (366 nucleotides) under soil metagenome. RNAcentral's name for it is "partial contains 5.8S ribosomal RNA, internal transcribed spacer 2, and large subunit ribosomal RNA". The stretch from base 1 to 120 matches the Rfam family "5.8S ribosomal RNA", at positions 35 to 154 of the family's 154-position model. The record is from RNAcentral.